CGUAGGGACCGAGCGUUGUCCGGAUUCAUUGGGCGUAAAGAGCUCGUAGGCGGCUGCUCAAGUCGAAUGUGAAAACUCGAGGCUCAACCUCGAGCCUGCAUUCGAUACUGGGCGGCUAGAGUCUGGUAGGGGGAUCUGGAAUUCCUGGUGUAGCGGUGGAAUGCGCAGAUAUCAGGAGGAACACCGGUGGCGAAGGCGGGAUCCUGGGCCAGUACUGACGCUGAGGAGCGAAAGCGUGGGGAGCAAACAGGAUUAGAUACCCUGGUAGUCCACGCCGUAAACGAUGGGCGCUAGGUGUGGGAGGUCAUCGACUCCUUCCGUGCCGCAGCUAACGCAUUAAGCGCCCCGCUGGGGAUACGGCCGCAAGGCUA
This 371-nucleotide ribosomal RNA is filed under the name uncultured organism. RNAcentral describes it as "bacterial SSU rRNA". It matches the Rfam family "Bacterial small subunit ribosomal RNA", at positions 526 to 896 of the family's 1533-position model. The record is from RNAcentral.